This 1890-nucleotide ribosomal RNA is filed under the name Triticum aestivum (bread wheat). RNAcentral's name for it is "partial small subunit ribosomal RNA". Lineage: Eukaryota; Viridiplantae; Streptophyta; Magnoliopsida; Poales; Poaceae. The record is from RNAcentral.
AUGUCCGCAGCACCAGAGGAAUACAAGGUUUCAUUAGCACAGUUAUAUAUCAUUGGAGAGGCUGAUGUGUGGUUAAGAAGAUCUGGUUUACUCAAGAAACAAUUAAAUUGGAAACAAUUUUGUGCUGAACUAAUAAAAAGAUUUUCGAAGCAAGGGUGUUAUGAUUUAACUGAAAAAUUCAAUUCAGUUAAGCAGUUAAAUACUUCUGUGUCUGGAUAUACAAAACUCUUUGAAGAUUUGAUGGCAGAUGUGCAGGAAGAAAAUCCUGAGCUCAGUUACUUGUGGUUUGUCAGAUGUUACGUCAAUGGGCUCCAAGAAGGGAUUAAGUUCCAAAUUAGACCACUGAGACCUCAAACGCUGAGAGAUGCAUAUUGGUUGGCCAAAGACAUUGAACCUUGCUAUCCUCCUAUCACUUCUGCACUCAAGAAACAAGGUGUUCCUUAUACAAAUUUCUAUCAAAGAAUUCCAACUGGGAAUUCUGUGAAACAAGGUACUUCUGCACCAUAUGCCUCUGCACCACAAUUACCUAUCAGACAUGCUGAAAUGAGUAAUACCAGCAAUCAGAAAGUGAGGAAAGUGGGAGAAUGUUGGAGGUGUGGUGAUAAGUGGAUGCAUGGAAAGUCCAAGUUAGUUCCCAGUGUCCAUCUUAUGCAACAGGAGCAGGAAGAGCAUAUACUUCAUGAUAGUGAGGAAACAAAUCCACAAGAAGAAACUAAAGCUAUAGAAGAGGAAGACCAAGCUAUGUUCAUUUCAGCAUUUGCUAUGGGGCAACAACUACCAGUACCAGCACCUACUGUGGUUAUACAUAUCAAUGGAAAAAGAGUUAUAGCCAUACUGGACUCUGGUAGUACUUCUUCAUUUCUCAAUCAUGAAUUUGCCAUUAAAUCUAAUUGCAAAUUACUACCAGUGAAACCCAGAGUGAUUGCUGUUGCUGGAGGAGGUACACUACUAUCCACUGUAGUAGUUCCUCAAUGUGAGUUUCAGUUAGGGAAAAUGAAAUUAUCUCACAAUUUCAUAGUGUUAUCUUUACCCAGUCAUGAUGCUAUACUAGGGUAUGAUUGGUUUACGGCUGUCAGCCCAAUUGCUUUUGAUAUUCCAACAAACAAAUUCAGUUUUACUGCUCAAGGACAACAAACUGUAACAACUGCUAUGUUUACUAAAUCUGAGAACAUCAAGGAAGUUCCAUCAGAGAAAAUGAACAAGCUGUUUGAUAAAGGAGUGGAAGUGUUCUUGUUGCGAGUAUAUAAUAUCUUGAUGGAUGCACCAAAAGAUUUCAAAAAACCUCCACAAGUACAAAAACUUUCGUUGGAGUAUGCAGAUUUAUUUGAAGAACCAAAUGCUCUUCCUCCUCAUAGAGCACUUGAUCACAAAAUUCCCUUAGUGGCUGGUGCAACUCCUCCUCAAGUAAGACCUUAUAGAGUUCCUCAACAUCAGAAGCAAGAAAUGGAAGAGCAGAUAAAUAAAUCGUUAGCUGCUCACUUGAUCAGACACGGCCAAAGUCCAUAUGCAGCCCAUGUGAUAUUGGUUAAAAAGAAAGAUGGGUCUAUGAGGCUGUGCACAGAUUUCAGAAAACUAAAUUCACUGACUAUCAAGAAUAAAUUCCCCAUUCCUGUCAUAGAAGAUUUGCUAGAUGAGUUGCAUGGAGAAAAGUAUUCCUCCAAACUAGAUCUAAGAUCAGGGUAUCAUCAAAUAAGAAUGAGCCCAGAAGAUAUACAUAAAACUGCCUUUAGAACAUAUCUAGGGCAUUUUGAAUAUCCGGUUAUGCCAUUCGGGUUAUCCAAUGCCCCUGGCACAUUUCAAGAGAUUAUGAAUGCUAUAUUUGGCCCUUAUCUGAGAAAAUUUGUUCUAGUAUUCUUUGAUGAUAUACUCAUCUGCAACAAGGACCUCAAA